RNAcentral lists this ribosomal RNA (221 nucleotides) under uncultured bacterium. RNAcentral's name for it is "partial 16S ribosomal RNA". It matches the Rfam family "Bacterial small subunit ribosomal RNA", at positions 111 to 334 of the family's 1533-position model. The record is from RNAcentral.
UAAUACAUCGGAACGUGCCCAAUCGUGGGGGAGUAACGUAGCGAAAGCUACGCUAAUACCGCAUACGAUCUACGGAUGAAAGCGGGGGGUCGCAAGACCUCGCGCGAAUGGAGCGGCCGAUGGCAGAUUAGGUAGUUGGUGGGGUAAAGGCUCACCAAGCCUUCGAUCUGUAGCUGGUCUGAGAGGACGACCAGCCACACUGGGACUGAGACACGGCCCAG